CCCGCAGAAAGCUGGCCGACGGGAGCGGGAAGAGAUCAGCCGAGCCCUCGCAUCAGCCUUCCCCCUGGGGCAUGUGCACCGUUGGGAAGGUGUUUGUUCAGAAUUGUGUGGGAAGCGAUGCUAGCUAAGCCUUUCCGAAGACAGAAACUCAUUAGAACCACUGAAAGCACAGCAAGAAGUCACUUUGUGGAUUGAUUUGGCACGACAAGCCAAGCAUUGACAAAUACCUUAACAACGUCGAAAGUAGCCUACUUUAAGAGGAAAUAUGCAGAAGAAGAAGAUUUACAUCAAGAUUACCCAGGGUAUUUUCCAAAAGUGAGUAUGUUUUGGUUAAUAUAAUAAAGCUGAAAUUAAUAUAGAUGCAUUUCCU
Molecule: long non-coding RNA, 370 nt
Filed under: Laticauda laticaudata (blue-ringed sea krait)
Lineage: Eukaryota; Metazoa; Chordata; Lepidosauria; Squamata; Elapidae
Description: lncRNA (ENSLLTG00000012929.1)
Source: RNAcentral